Molecule: ribosomal RNA, 496 nt
Filed under: uncultured bacterium
Lineage: Bacteria
Description: partial 16S ribosomal RNA
Rfam family: Bacterial small subunit ribosomal RNA
Source: RNAcentral
GAUGAACGCUGGCGGCGUGCCUAAUACAUGCAAGUCGAGCGAACAGACGAGGAGCUUGCUCCUCUGACGUUAGCGGCGGACGGGUGAGUAACACGUGGAUAACCUACCUAUAAGACUGGGAUAACUUCGGGAAACCGGAGCUAAUACCGGAUAAUAUAUUGAACCGCAUGGUUCAAUAGUGAAAGACGGUUUUGCUGUCACUUAUAGAUGGAUCCGCGCCGCAUUAGCUAGUUGGUAAGGUAACGGCUUACCAAGGCAACGAUGCGUAGCCGACCUGAGAGGGGGGUGGGCCCAGCGGGAGCUGAAACACGGCCCAGACCCCAAGGGGAGGCAGCGGUGGGAAAUCUCCCGCAAGGGGCGAAACCCUGAGGGGGAAACCCCGCGGAGGUAAUGAAGGGCUUCGGAUCGUAAAACUUUUUUAUUAGGAAAAAAAAAAUGGGAAAGUAACCAUCCCCGUCUGGACGGAACCUAAUCAAAAAGCCCCGGCAAACUCCGG